RNAcentral lists this unclassified non-coding RNA (335 nucleotides) under Hevea brasiliensis (rubber tree). The record is from RNAcentral. Lineage: Eukaryota; Viridiplantae; Streptophyta; Magnoliopsida; Malpighiales; Euphorbiaceae.
CCAUUGGUAUGCAGAAAAUAUAUGAAAAGAACAAUAAUGUGCAUGUUCUUGUUUGUCUGGGAAGGAAGCUGCAUCUUGCUCAUGGAUGUAAAUAUUUUAUUGAAGUUCAUCAGAUUCGAAGGUUUUGGUCGGGGAUGAUCCAGCGAAACAAACAACCGAGAUAUGCAAAUCCAGUUGCAGACUCAAACCCACUUAAGGAAUUGAACUUCACCUGAAGAGAUUAUUAGUUAGGAAUGGGUGGCGUCUCCUGUCAGCUAAUUGGUUUUCAUCACCUCGGCCACGUAGCGGUGCACGAUGGCGGACAGUCAGAAAUCGGAGAGGGGUAGAUAGAGCCA